RNAcentral lists this ribosomal RNA (338 nucleotides) under uncultured Bacillota bacterium. Its description in RNAcentral is "bacterial SSU rRNA". It matches the Rfam family "Bacterial small subunit ribosomal RNA", at positions 28 to 351 of the family's 1533-position model. Lineage: Bacteria; Bacillati; Bacillota. The record is from RNAcentral.
GACGAACGCUGGCGGCGUGCCUAAUACAUGCAAGUCGAGCGGAACUUUCAUUGGAGCUUGCUCCUUUGACAGUUUAGCGGCGGACGGGUGAGUAACACGUGGGCAACCUGCCCUGUAGAUUGGGAUAACUUCGGGAAACCGAGGCUAAUACCGAAUAAUACUUGGAACCUCAUGGUUCUAAGUUGAAAGAUGGUUCUGCUAUCACUACAGGAUGGGCCCGCGGUGCAUUAGCUAGUUGGUGAGGUAACGGCUCACCAAGGCAACGAUGCAUAGCCGACCUGAGAGGGUGAUCGGCCACACUGGGACUGAGACACGGCCCAGACUCCUACGGGAGGCAG